Molecule: ribosomal RNA, 256 nt
Filed under: uncultured bacterium
Lineage: Bacteria
Description: partial 16S ribosomal RNA
Rfam family: Bacterial small subunit ribosomal RNA
Source: RNAcentral
GACGAACGCUGGCGGCGUGCUUAACACAUGCAAGUCGAACGGUAAGGCCCCUUCGGGGUACGACGAGUGGCGAACGGGUGAGUAACACGUGAGCAACCUGCCCUUGACUCUGGAAUAACAGUUGGAAACAGCUGCUAAUACCGGUUAUGACCUGUCACCGCAUGGUGGUGGGUGGAAAGUUCCGGCGGUCAGGGAUGGGCUCGCGGCCUAUCAGCUUGUUGGUGAGGUAAUGGCUCACCAAGGCUUCGACGGGUAG